GAUGAACGCUGGCGGCGUGCCUAAUACAUGCCAGUCGAGCGAACGGACGAGAAGCUUGCUUCUCUGAUGUUAGCGGCGGACGGGUGAGUAACACGUGGAUAACCUACCUAUAAGACUGGGAUAACUUCGGGAAACCGGAGCUAAUACCGGAUGAUAUUUUGAACCGCAUGGUUCAAAAGUGAAAGACGGUCUUGCUAUCACUUAUAGAUGGAUCCGCGCUGCAUUAGCUAGUUGGUAAGGUAACGGCUUACCAAGGCAACGAUGCAUAGCCGACCUGAGAGGGUGAUCGGCCACACUGGAACUGAGACACGGUCCAGACUCCUACGGGAGGCAGCAGUAGGGAAUCUUCCGCAAUGGGCGAAAGCCUGACGGAGCAACGCCGCGUGAGUGAUGAAGGUCUUCGGAUCGUAAAACUCUGUUAUUAGGGAAGAACAUAUGUGUAAGUAACUGUGCACAUCUUGACGGUACCUAAUCAGAAAGCCACGGCUAACUACGUG
RNAcentral lists this ribosomal RNA (497 nucleotides) under uncultured bacterium. Its description in RNAcentral is "partial 16S ribosomal RNA". It matches the Rfam family "Bacterial small subunit ribosomal RNA", at positions 28 to 507 of the family's 1533-position model. The record is from RNAcentral.